This 1312-nucleotide long non-coding RNA is filed under the name Struthio camelus australis. RNAcentral's name for it is "lncRNA (ENSSCUG00000007737.1)". The record is from RNAcentral. Lineage: Eukaryota; Metazoa; Chordata; Aves; Struthioniformes; Struthionidae.
CGACACGCGGGAGUUUUGGCCCGUGGCUUACGGCGUUAGGCAGACUGGCAGGCCCUGCCCGGGUCUUGAGUUACCUGAAGGCCGAGCUGGCCGACACCAGCUGACGCUCUCCGCGGAAAUGAGGAAACCGAUGACUGCUGGCGUUAUCGCUUGAGUUAGUAGCGAGGCAAACGUCUACGUUACUCAGCGCAGAGAUACCCAGAGUAUCGUAAAAGUGGUUUAUAGCACAUCGCGUCUGCUGGUCUCCCUGAAGGGAGACGCAAAGGUCUGACGACUGACAGGGUCACAGGGGGCCGAGGUGCCCAGAAGAAACUGGGAGGUGUGCUGUUUCUCCUGCGUUUCUAUCACUUGCCUGUUUUUUCCUGCAGCACAGUGAGGAGAUACUAGCUCAGGUCUUGCAAGCGGUAUAACUCUGUCAGAGUCACUCUACACCCGUGCUAAUUAACUGAGCCUUUCAGCAGAGCUAAUUAACUGAAGCAGAAUACUUCAAUGGCCCAGCAAUCCUAUGCAUCAAGUUUUGGACAACCAAGAGGACACCGAUGAGAAUAAGAGAUUUAGAAAGCAUGCUAAUGAGGAGAAUUUAAAGAUCUGGACAGACACAAGAUAACUGGGCACAAGAUAACUGUCUUCAGUUCUAUGCAAGGCAUGCAUCGAGGAAGUCAUAUUAUGCACUGAUUCAUGAAAUAUGCAUCAAGUAUUGGUUAAACAGAAUGGAAGAGAACAUGAAAAAACUACAUGGAGUGAGCCAAGGGAUGGAAGCAUCCUGCUGCCGUUUUGGACUCGUGUCCAUUAUCUAGAUCUUUGGAUCUCUUUUGACUCAGCCACUUUCCAGAGUAAAGGGGAACAAGAUCUAUUAUUCAGGUCCUAGCACUGUCCCUAAUUAUUCCAUGCAGUGUGAGGCACGUUGCCAACAGAGUGGUCCAAUGCCUAGGAAACUUUUUUGAAUUGCUUUCCUGAGGGACAGAAGCCAAACCAUUAUGUACUACUUUCCUAGGAAAAGAUCAAAGCCAGAGUGAGUAGAUUAAACUUGUGAUAAGAGUGGCAUCUGAUGGCUCUGAAACCCCUCAGGAUGCUGGGGACGGACAUACUGAUUUUCCAGGUAUCACAUAUAGAUGUUUCCCCAUUGUUAAUAGAAAGUCUUUGAAGAUUUUGAAAUUCCACUAGGAAUCAAAUUCCACUAGGAACUGCAAUUCUCAGUACUCAAAUGCCUACGUUUCCUGUGUGGAGCGAGCUUGCCGAUUUGAACAGUUUGGGUACUUUUGGCCAACUACCUCACAUUUUGUUUCUAUAAAUAAACAUGUAUAUAGAGCCA